AUGAACGCUGGCGGCGUGCCUAAUACAUGCCAGUCGAGCGAACGGACGAGAAGCUUGCUUCUCUGAUGUUAGCGGCGGACGGGUGAGUAACACGUGGAUAACCUACCUAUAAGACUGGGAUAACUUCGGGAAACCGUAGCUAAUACCGGAUAAUAUUUUGAACCGCAUGGUUCAAAAGUGAAAGACGGUCUUGCUGUCACUUAUAGAUGGAUCCGCGCUGCAUUAGCUAGUUGGUAAGGUAACGGCUUACCAAGGCAACGAUGCAUAGCCGACCUGAGAGGGUGAUCGGCCACACUGGAACUGAGACACGGUCCAGACUCCUACGGGAGGCAGCAGUAGGGAAUCUUCCGCAAUGGGCGAAAGCCUGACGGAGCAACGCCGCGUGAGUGAUGAAGGUCUUCGGAUCGUAAAACUCUGUUAUUAGGGAAGAACAUAUGUGUAGGUAACUGUGCACAUCUUGACGGUACCUAAUCAGAAAGCCACGGCUAACUACGUG
This 496-nucleotide ribosomal RNA is filed under the name uncultured bacterium. Its description in RNAcentral is "partial 16S ribosomal RNA". It matches the Rfam family "Bacterial small subunit ribosomal RNA", at positions 29 to 507 of the family's 1533-position model. The record is from RNAcentral.